Molecule: ribosomal RNA, 500 nt
Filed under: uncultured Halorhabdus sp.
Lineage: Archaea; Methanobacteriati; Methanobacteriota; Halobacteria; Halobacteriales; Haloarculaceae
Description: bacterial SSU rRNA
Rfam family: Archaeal small subunit ribosomal RNA
Source: RNAcentral
AAGCGGACAGCAAGAGCGAGGCCAGAAAUCCCGUUCUUUUCUGUAGCGUAAGUAAUUUCCGAUGAAAUGGGUCCUCAAGACCCGCUACCGCCACCGCCGGUACGUCCGGGAUAUCAGUGAUUGUCUCUUUUACCGGUCCUACAGCGUCCGUAGCCCGCCAGCCAGGUAGAUCGUGAAAGCCAGUCCCUUAAAGGAUGGAGGUCCGGUUUUACCCAACGGGCUUUCGGCCGGGAGACCCAGGGGGUACGUCCGAGGUAAGAGUGAAAUACCAUAACUCCGGUCAGAACCCCGGUGGCGAAAGCGGCUUGUGAGGACGGAACCGACGGUGAGGGACGAAAGCUACGGUCACGAACCGGAUUAGAUACCCGGGUAGUCCUAGCCGUAAACGAUGCCCGCUAGGUGUGGCGCAGGCUACGAGCUUGUGCUGUGCCACAGAGAAGGCAAUAAGCGGGCCGCCUGGGAAGUACGUCCGCAAGGAUGAAACUCAAAGGAAUUGACGG